CUUCAUUUGGGAGAUGGAGUGUUCUGUAGCUAGAAAUCCUAUUGCUAGCUGGAAUCUGUCUACAAGGUCUGGAUCACAUCCUGUAGGUAUGACAAGCUUGACUUGAAGUUAACUGAAAGUGAAGCAGUCACCAUUUUAAGCUAAUGAGAUCUGUUUCUCCACAGUCACACUGCUUUCCUGAAGAAUACUGACAAGUUUAGCAAGAAAUGGGAGAAAAUGAUGGGUAUCAAUACUUAGAAAUGAUUAUAUUAUUAUGAUAUAUACACUGAUGCAGGAAUCACUGUUGUUAACAAUGAGGUCAAACAAGGAAUGCGAGUGGUGGUGGUAGGGAGAAAACAGAAGCAGAACUUGAUAUAGAUGGGAGGCAGAGCAAGAUCUCAGACCAGCUGUUGUCCUAACUAAAAAGCCUUUACAAGUAUUCCUGAGCAUUAUUUUCAUUAAUUCAUGCUCCCUCCACUGCCUUUAAAUAAACGAAUGACUCCCAUCCUCUCAUUAAUCCAUGAAGAAGCUUUGAUCCAGUUUUUACAAGUGCAGUUCUUUGUAGAAGAAAAGAGAAACGUUCUCUUCCUUCCCCACCCCUUCCUCCCCUCCUGUCUUCUUCCCAGAGGAACUUUUUGGCUCUACUGUUAGCCAGAAAUAGAAUGAAGCCUGCUGACUGCAAGCUUCUGUUGGACAAAUAAUAUAGCUUGCUUUAAACAUAUCGGUACCCACAGUUGAGCCAGGCAAACAGAUGGAAAAAGUUUGAAAUAAAGCUGUG
Molecule: long non-coding RNA, 757 nt
Filed under: Gallus gallus (chicken)
Lineage: Eukaryota; Metazoa; Chordata; Aves; Galliformes; Phasianidae
Description: lncRNA (ENSGALG00010017497.1)
Source: RNAcentral